Molecule: ribosomal RNA, 309 nt
Filed under: uncultured bacterium
Lineage: Bacteria
Description: partial 16S ribosomal RNA
Rfam family: Bacterial small subunit ribosomal RNA
Source: RNAcentral
AGAGACAGCAGUCGCCGCGGUAAGACAGAGGAUGCAAGCGUUAUUCGGAAUGAUUGGGCGUAAAGCGUCUGUAGGUGGCUUUUCAAGUCCACCGUCAAAUCCCCGGGCUCAACCCUGGACAAGCAGUGGAAACUACCAAGCUGGAGUACGGUAGGGGUAGAGGGAAUUUCCGGUGGAGCGGUGAAAUGCGUUGAGAUCGGAAAGAACACCAACGACGAAAGCACUCUGCUGGGCCGACACUGAUACUGAGAGACGAAAGCUAGGGGAGCAAAUGGGAUUAGAUACCCCCGUAGUCCCUGUCUCUUAUAC